This 468-nucleotide ribosomal RNA is filed under the name uncultured bacterium. RNAcentral describes it as "partial 16S ribosomal RNA". It matches the Rfam family "Bacterial small subunit ribosomal RNA", at positions 28 to 507 of the family's 1533-position model. The record is from RNAcentral.
GACGAACGCUGGCGGCGUGCUUAACACAUGCAAGUCGAACGGAAAGGCCCUGCUCUUGUGGGGUGCUCGAGUCGCGAAGGGGUGUGUAACAUGUGAGUAAGCUGCCCUUGACUUUGGGACAACUCCAGGACAGUGGGGCUAAUACAGGAUAGGAGCUCCUGCUGCAUGGUGGGGGUUGGAAAGUUCCGGCGGGUGGGGAUGGACUGGCGGCUUAUCAGCUUGUUGGUGGAGUAGUGGCCUACCAAGGCUUUGACGGGUGGCCGGCCUGAGAGGGUGACCGGGCACAUUGGGCCUGCGAUACGGCCCAGUCUCCUACGGGAGGCAGCAGUGGGGAGUAUUGCACAAUGGGCGGACGCCUGAUGCAGCGACGCCGCGUGCGGGAUGACGGCCUUGGGGGUGUAAACCGCUUUCGCCUGUGACGAAGCGUGAGUGACGGUAAUGGGUGAAGAAGCACCGGCUAACUACGUG